UGAGCAAUCUGCCCAUCUCUUUGGAAUAAGCGUUGGAAACGACGUCUAAUGCCGAAUACGACCUCCUUUCGCAUGAUCGGAGGUGGAAAGCUCCGGCGGAGAUGGAUGAGCUCGCGGCCUAUCAGCUAGUUGGUGUGGGUAAUGGCCCACCAAGGCGACGACGGGUAGCCGGCCUGAGAGGGUGACCGGCCACACGUGGGACUGAGACACGGCCCAGACCUCCGUAGGGAG
This 231-nucleotide ribosomal RNA is filed under the name uncultured bacterium. RNAcentral's name for it is "partial 16S ribosomal RNA". It matches the Rfam family "Bacterial small subunit ribosomal RNA", at positions 118 to 347 of the family's 1533-position model. The record is from RNAcentral.